UUUUGCAUAUUUCCCACAAGCGGAGGAAAAGAAACCAACAGGGAUUGCCCUAGUAACGGCGAGUGAAGCGGCAACAGCUCAAAUUUGAAAUCUGGCUCUUUCAGAGUCCGAGUUGUAAUUUGCAGAGGGCGCUUUGGCUUUGGCAGCGGUCCAAGUUCCUUGGAACAGGACGUCACAGAGGGUGAGAAUCCCGUACGUGGUCGCUAGCUAUUGCCGUGUAAAGCCCCUUCGACGAGUCGAGUUGUUUGGGAAUGCAGCUCUAAAUGGGAGGUAAAUUUCUUCUAAAGCUAAAUAUUGGCCAGAGACCGAUAGCGCACAAGUAGAGUGAUCGAAAGAUGAAAAGCACUUUGGAAAGAGAGUCAAACAGCACGUGAAAUUGUUGAAAGGGAAGCGCUUGCAGCCAGACUUGCUUGCAGUUGCUCAUCCGGGCUUUUGCCCGGUGCACUCUUCUGCAGGCAGGCCAGCAUCAGUUUGGGCGGUGGGAUAAAGGUCUCUGUCACGUACCUUCCUUCGGGUUGGCCUUAUAGGGGAGACGCCAUACCACCAGCCUGGACUGAGGUCCGCGCAUCUGCUAGGAUGCUGGCGUAAUGGCUGUAAGCGGCCCGUCUUGACAAACCGGGAACCAAA
Molecule: ribosomal RNA, 627 nt
Filed under: Curvularia spicifera
Lineage: Eukaryota; Fungi; Ascomycota; Dothideomycetes; Pleosporales; Pleosporaceae
Description: LSU rRNA
Rfam family: Eukaryotic large subunit ribosomal RNA
Source: RNAcentral